Molecule: ribosomal RNA, 253 nt
Filed under: uncultured bacterium
Lineage: Bacteria
Description: partial 16S ribosomal RNA
Rfam family: Bacterial small subunit ribosomal RNA
Source: RNAcentral
UACGUAGGGCGCAAGCGUUGUCCGGAAUUAUUGGGCGUAAAGAGCUCGUAGGCGGCUUGUCACGUCGAUUGUGAAAGCCCGAGGCUUAACCUCGGGUCUGCAGUCGAUACGGGCUAGCUAGAGUGUGGUAGGGGAGAUCGGAAUUCCUGGUGUAGCGGUGAAAUGCGCAGAUAUCAGGAGGAACACCGGUGGCGAAGGCGGAUCUUUGGGCCAUUACUGACGCUGAGGAGCGAAAGCGUGGGGAGCGAACAGG